GAAAGUUAAACCCCAAAUUUGUACUAAUAUCAAAGCCUACACAUAAAUUAUGGUAAAAAUUAAUAAAAACUUUUGAUACACAUAAUACUAUAUAUACAUUAAGUUGACAGUAACACUUUCAGUGCACCACCCCAUCCCAAAGGCUAUUAUUAUUCGAGAUGGGACAAAUCGACAUAAUAUUUGAGUAUGUCAUGCCUGCCCACACUAAUACAGCAACAUAGUGCAAAUUACAGAUGUUUCUGGCAGCCGGAGUCAGUUUUGAUGGUAGACACCUCACCUUUAGGCCACGGAAUAUAUACAAGUGUUUGUAGCCAGCCAAAGAAUGCUGCCAAAUUCUAAAUAGGCCCCACGGGCACAUAAAAUUCACGGGAGGACUUCACGAGUGUGUUAUACAAAAAGACGGCUUAGAGAGGUCGGUCGUACUCGUACUCGUACUCAAUCAAUCUCUGGUUCAAAAUGUCUGCAUCAAAUUCAAUUAUGGUGGUGAGUCACAGCAAGGGCAAACUCCAUUAAUAACUGGCUAGCUAGGCAGCCAUGCAAAUAACAAAUUGUUGGGAUCCCAACAUUCAUAUGCAUAUGAUAUGGUGCAGGUAUACAAUUACAAACCGACCUGUAUGUAGAAUUAAUUCCUAAGCUUAUAAUUGAGAGAGAACAAAUCAUUCCACAUCAACAUGCACCGAUCGACAGCAAUAUAUUCAUUCAACAUCAAAAGUUUGGGAUGAAGAUUAUUUGAAUUAAUUUUAGAAGAGAGAGAAACUUAGAAAACUUGAGGAUUAUUAGUAUAAUUCAUAUUGGCUUUAGUUGCCAAGCAUUCAUGCAUAACAUAAUUGUUUACCACUUCCAUUGAAAUAAUUAGUUUUAGUUAAGCUUUCUUUUUGGUAAAGAUGUUAUAUAGUCCCAACAAGUUGUAAACAACAUUCUAUGAAUUCAUCAGUUAAUUUAGUAGCUCGGCUCCAUAGAAAUAGUAACGGGGGCUUUACAAACAUUCCCACGCCAAAAAGAAAUUCCGAUCUCCAUCUCAGGCCUCAAGGGUAUUUAUUUAUUAUUCAUCAAAGCAGCCCUUUACUGGGUAUGUAUUUUCUUUUCUUUUGGUCGUCAUAUAAGAAAACAAAUUUAUUUGUUCUUCAAUUUCAGCAGAGCAGAGGUAAUUAAUUGCAAAACCCAUCCAUGAUUUCACUUUUUAAAUUCAAGUAUUUUAACUGUUGGAGUAUAAAGCAAACAGUCUAACAAAAGGUUCAAACUUCAAAAUGUAAAUUUUGUGAACUAAAUUAUUGUUGGUUGAUAUUUGGAGAAGUAGUAAAUUAUUGUUAGUUGGACGGACGCUUCCAACAGGAGUUGCAAGUUGUUACUGUUAGCAUUCAGAUAGUACCACCCACCCACCCAAGUACAAAAAAACGGAAUGAAAUGAUUUUAAGAUAUUUUAAGUGUUGUCAUAUAAUAACAAAAUUAUCACAUAUAUCCAUUACAUUAGAAUGAAUUUUAUUCUACCUUUUCCACGCAAGGAAAGUGAUGAAUUUUCAUGGUUUAUCUUCAUUUUAUUUCAUUACUUUUUCUAUUACAUUCCCCCUCGAUCUAACCGUAGAAAAAGAAUACUAGAAACUAGAAACCAUGGGCAUAUUUAGGAUUCAUUCAUUCAUUCUCUAUCCUCCCCGUACUAAACACCCAGCAAGAAAUUCCUAUUAGGUUCAACAAUUCAGUGUUGAGGAGAUUAAAUCAAAGGUUGGACAUCUUUGUGGCCAAUGUUGUUGGUGGUUUGAGAAGACAAAAAUACACAAGUCAUACCCGUGAAUGUUGCAUGUGAUCAUAAAAGAGCUGUUAUAAUCACUUCUCUUAACAAGUUAAGUUAUAGACCCACUCACGUGUCUCUUUUUGGCUUUUACAUGGAAGUCUAAUUGUAACAACUACAAGUAUGUAUAACCAAUAGAAUGAAAUAAUGAAUGAAUGAAUGAAUGAAUGAAUAUAUUCACAUCAUUAAAGGAAAAGAAAAGUGGAGAUUGCAUGAUAAUUACUUCAAAUAUUUGAAUAAUUAAAGCCAACAAUUCUUUUAGUUGCCAAAAAGAUAAUGAAUUAUUGGGGGUUGGGAAAAAGACUUGCAUUUCAGGCUAUGGGUAAAUUUUGGAUAGAUCACAUGCAACUUAAUAUUGCCACGUGGCAAAAUGUGACCUGGUGGACCAAAUGAAAAGCCAACCAAAUUUCACAAAAAGGGAUAGAAAAUAGUUGAUAAUUAUGAAACAUAAAAAAUACCUCUAGCAUUAUUAAACAAUCUCUGCUCAUACUGCACAGUUAAGUGAGCCUUGGAGUAUUCUUCCUUCCUAUUUAAAUAACAAACCAGCUGCUCUGUUGGCUAUCUGAAAAACCACUCCUCCCUGACUCUCCAAAAAAAAUGACUGCUUUUAGUUUCAGAAGCCUCACAUUUAUACUUCUCAUUUCCUUACUCCUCUGGUCUUCCACAUUUGAAACUUGCAAUGCUAGAAGAGGCAAGCAUUGGAGGCAAAGUAAAGCUUUCACAACUUCUCUGUCCAAGAAGAAAGGAAAGAAUCAUGGCCGUAGUAGUCAUCACCACGGAAAUGGCAGCAAGUCAAAAUCCAAAACUCCCACUCCAGUAGCACCAGCACCUCCAUUACCUAAACCAAAAGAUGAUAGCUCAUCAGCCCCACCAAAGAAAGGUCACAAUUAUGUUCCUGCUGCUACUUAUAAUGUCUUAGAUUUUGCCGCCAAAGGGGAUGGAAAAACCGAUGAUACAAAGGUAAUUUUUCUAUUAUAUUCACCAACAGACAUCACAUUUCAUAACAAUUCUCCAUGUAACUCCGCACACAAAGUAAAAUUUGUUCCAAGUUCAUGCUAUAAGUGCAGUCUUAAGCUUUCAUGUCCUUAUCCAGAAUGUUGUAGAUAGGACCACGUAAACAAAAACAUGCAUAUAGAAUGUAGCACUCCAGGUGAACAAGCGUGACUCCUUAGGUACUUGCCACUAACUUCUUCUUCUUCAAAUGUUCAAAGAAUUGACAAGCAUCACUUAAAAAGAAUUUCAAAAUUUUAAUGUAUUUUUAGUUCAUCAGAAUUAUAGGAUGCCUUAGGAAUUUAAAGGAGUGUUACAUUCAAAUUAUAUUGUAGAAAUUUUGUUACUGUGGUAGGUAACUAUCAGAUGUUCCUUCUACGAAAGGGAAAAAAAAAUCAAAUCUUAGGUGUAUAAAGCUAGACUAUGCCAAAAAUCAUACAAAGAAAAAGACAAUAGAACUUACAGAGUAAUUAACAACAAAAUCAGGAAGGGACCACUCAAGUGACUCUAAUUACAGCAGUUUGGUCCAGAUUCCAACAGUAAUUGUAUACAGUUAGGUACAAACUACAACAGUAUGACAAAAAAUUAAUUCAUCUUUUAAAGUUGGAGAAGAGAAAUAGUAGACAAAAACAAAGUUAAUUUACUGACUCAGAAAAAAUGUCUCUGUCUCAUGUGCAAAACAGGCAUUUCAAGCUGCAUGGGCAGCUGCUUGUAAGAUGGAGGCAUCCACCAUCAUCGUCCCAUCAGAAUAUGAGUUCCUUGUGGGACCCAUCUCGUUUUCUGGUCCUUACUGUCAACACAAC
Molecule: long non-coding RNA, 3579 nt
Filed under: Panax ginseng (ginseng)
Lineage: Eukaryota; Viridiplantae; Streptophyta; Magnoliopsida; Apiales; Araliaceae
Description: long non-coding RNA (PGIN_LNC001998)
Source: RNAcentral